Molecule: long non-coding RNA, 481 nt
Filed under: Sorghum bicolor (sorghum)
Lineage: Eukaryota; Viridiplantae; Streptophyta; Magnoliopsida; Poales; Poaceae
Description: long non-coding RNA (SBIC_LNC000111)
Source: RNAcentral
GCAGGGGUUGCAGGGGUACGGCUGGGGCACGUACUGCGGGUAGUACUGCGGCGGUGGCGGCGCCGGGGCAGGCUCAGGGGCCUUGCCGCAGGAGCAGCAGUGGCACCCGCCGUGGCCGUGGUGGCAGCAGCAGUCGGACGGCCACGCCGGGUACGGGUACGGGUACGGCCACGGGUAAGGGAUCUCCACCACCUUGGGCGGCGGCGGGGCGGGCUGCUCCUUGGGUGGUGGGGGCUUCUCCUUGGGUGGCUCCUCCUUGGGUUUCUCCUUGGGUGGCUCCUCCUUGGGUUUCUCCUUGGGCGGCUCCUCAACAAUCGCCGGCGGCGGCGGGGCAGGCUCCUCCUUCUUCUCCGGCGGCGGCGGGGCCGGCUCCUCCUUCUUGGGCUCCUCCUUCUUCUCCGGCGGCGGCGGCGGCGGAGGCUCGACGAUCUCGAUCUGCUUGAUGAUCUUGCACGCCUUGCAGCAGAGCUUGUCGGCGAGC